RNAcentral lists this ribosomal RNA (420 nucleotides) under uncultured eukaryote. RNAcentral describes it as "bacterial SSU rRNA". It matches the Rfam family "Eukaryotic small subunit ribosomal RNA", at positions 592 to 1017 of the family's 1831-position model. The record is from RNAcentral.
CAAUAGUGUAUAUUAGUGUUGUUGCAGUUGAAGCGCUCGUAGUUGGAUUUUGGAAUAGUUCGACUGGUUGUCCGUCAAGGUACGUACUUGUUGAAUUGUUCUUUUUCUGAAGAACUGUCAUGCACUUUAUUUUGUGUGUCAGGGAUCCAGAACUUUUUUACUUUGAAAAAAUUAGAGUGUUCAAAGCAGGCCUAGCUUGAAUACAUUAGCAUGGAAUAAUAAAAUAGGACUUGCAGUUCUAUUUUGUUGGUUUCUAGAACUGAAGUAAUGAUUAAUAGGGAUAGUUGGGGGCAUUAGUAUUUAAUUGUCAGAGGUGAAAUUCUUGGAUUUAUGAAAGACUAACUUCUGCGAAAGCAUUUGCCAAGGAUGUUUUCAUUAAUCAAGAACGAAAGUCGGGGGAUCGAAGACGAUCAGAUACCA